RNAcentral lists this ribosomal RNA (1495 nucleotides) under Chloroparvula pacifica. RNAcentral's name for it is "SSU rRNA". It matches the Rfam family "Bacterial small subunit ribosomal RNA". The record is from RNAcentral. Lineage: Eukaryota; Viridiplantae; Chlorophyta; Chloropicophyceae; Chloropicales; Chloropicaceae.
UAAUUAUUGAGUUUGAUCCUGGCUCAGAAUGAGCGCUAGCGAUAGCUUUUAUACAUGCAAGUCGAGUGUAUUUAUUUACACGGCGAACGGGUGAGUACAAUUCGAGAAUUCUGCCGAAGAGGACAGGUCAAUCCUGUAUAUUUGCAAAGGCGAAGUCCCCCUCUUUGAUGAGCUCGAACAAUAUUAGGUAGUUGGUGGGGUAAGAGCCUACCAAGCCAAAGAUGUUUAGCGGGUGUGAGAGCACGAUCCGCCACAUUAGAACUGAGACACGGUCUAAACUAUAUUUUAUAGGCAGCAGUAGAGAAUAAUGAACAAUGAGCGGAAGCUUGAUUCUGGUAUAUCGCGUGGUGGAUGAAGGCCAUUUCGGUCGUAAACACCUUUUCUUGCAAGAUUAUUGUGAAGUUCUGCAAGCUAAAAAGUAGUGGCUAAACACGUGCCAGCAGCCGCGGUAAUACGUGUACUACGAGCGCUAUUCGGUUUUAUUUGGUGUAAAGGGUUUUUAGGCGGAUUGUAUUGUUGACAUGUUCCAGUCUACAGCUAAACUGUAGAAUGCAUUCAAAACGUACAAUCUCUGAGUGAAUUAGAGGAGAGUGGAAUACCGAAAGUAGAGGUUAAAUUCAAAGAUAUUCGGGGGAAGACCAAAUGAGAAGUCAGCUCUCUUGGAUUUCACUGACGCUGAAGAACGAAAGCUUAAGUAGCAAAAUGGAUUAGAUACCCAAGUAGUUUAAGCUGUAAACGAUGAGUGUUCGCUGGGUGUACUUUUGUUAUGCCUGGCCAAGCUAACGCGUUAAACACUCCACCUGAAUAGUACGAUCGCAAGAUUAAAAUUCAAAGGAAUUGACGGGAAUUAAUACGAACAGUGGAUCAUCUUGUUUAAUUUGAAACUACGCAGAAAAUCUUACCAAUCCUUGAAUAUCCGAGAUCCCUGGCAAAAAACCACUGGAAUACCGGAUACAAGCACUGCACGGCUGUCGUCAGUUCGUGAAUUGAUUUGUUAGGUUAAGUCCUAAAACGAACGCAACCCUCAUGUAAAUUUAUAAAAGCUUAAUUGUUAGUAAUGUUUACAAACUGCUAUUGAUAAGAUAGAGGAAGGUGAGGAUGAAGACAAGUCAUCAUGGUCUUUAUGGAUUGGGCUACAAAGGUGAUACAGUGCAUAUAACAAAGUGUUGCAAUGGCGCGAGCCGGAGCUAAUCAUUAAACAUAUGCAUGGUUUGGAUUGUUGUCUGCAACUCGACAACAUGAAAUUGGAAUUGUUAGUAAUCGUGAAUCAGAACGUCACGGUGAAAUCGUACCUUAAUUUUGUACAUACCGCCUGUCAAGUCUCGAAAGUGAUUGUUACCCCAAACGGAAAAGAUAAUUUUAGAACAUUUAUUCUUUCAGUUCGAAAGAUAGCCGUUUCUUCUAUGGUCUCUUUGGUCGACGGUAAAACUCAUGAUUGUGACUAAGUCAUAACAAGGUAACUGUAAGGGAACUUGCUGUUGGAUCGACUCCUUUU